UUAGGAUGAACGCUGGCGGCGUGCCUAACACAUGCAAGUCGAACGGAGUUACUCGCUGAUGAAGCUUCGGCAGAAUCUUGAGUAAACUUAGUGGCGGACGGGUGAGUAACGCGUGGGCAACCUGCCUCAUACUGGGGGAUAGCAGUUGGAAACGACUGAUAAUACCGCAUAAGCGCACGGUAUCGCAUGAUACAGUGUGAAAAACUCCGGUGGUAUGAGAUGGGCCCGCGUCAGAUUAGCUAGUUGGUAAGGUAACGGCUUACCAAGGCGACGAUCUGUAGCCGGACUGAGAGGUCGGACGGCCACAUUGGGACUGAGACACGGCCCAAACUCCUACGGGAGGCAGCAGUGGGGGAUAUUGCACAAUGGAGGAAACUCUGAUGCAGCGACGCCGCGUGAGUGAAGAAGUAUUUCGGUAUGUAAAGCUCUAUCAGCAGGGAAGAGAGGCUCGUAAGAGAGAUGACGGUACCUGACUAAGAAGCCCCGGCUAACUACGUGCCAGCCGCCGC
RNAcentral lists this ribosomal RNA (509 nucleotides) under uncultured bacterium. Its description in RNAcentral is "bacterial SSU rRNA". It matches the Rfam family "Bacterial small subunit ribosomal RNA", at positions 24 to 518 of the family's 1533-position model. The record is from RNAcentral.